GAUGAACGCUGGCGGCGUGCCUAAUACAUGCAAGUCGAGCGAACAGAUGAGGAGCUUGCUCCUCUGACGUUAGCGGCGGACGGGUGAGUAACACGUGGAUAACCUACCUAUAAGACUGGGAUAACUUCGGGAAACCGGAGCUAAUACCGGAUAAUAUAUUGAACCGCAUGGUUCAAUAGUGAAAGACGGUUUUGCUGUCACUUAUAGAUGGAUCCGCGCCGCAUUAGCUAGUUGGUAAGGUAACGGCUUACCAAGGCAACGAUGCGUAGCCGACCUGAGAGGGUGAUCGGCCACACUGGAGCUGGGACACGGUCCAGACUCCUACGGGAGGCAGCAGUAGGGAAUCUUCCGCAAUGGGCGAAAGCCUGACGGAGCAACGCCGCGUGAGUGAUGAAGGUCUUCGGAUCGUAAAACUCUGUUAUUAGGGAAGAACAAAUGAGUAAGUAACUAUGCACGCCUUGACGGUACCUAAUCAGAAAGCCACGGCUAACUACGUG
Molecule: ribosomal RNA, 497 nt
Filed under: uncultured bacterium
Lineage: Bacteria
Description: partial 16S ribosomal RNA
Rfam family: Bacterial small subunit ribosomal RNA
Source: RNAcentral